Long non-coding RNA from Pygocentrus nattereri (red-bellied piranha), 1220 nucleotides. NCBI's taxonomy places the organism in Eukaryota, Metazoa, Chordata, Actinopteri, Characiformes, Serrasalmidae. The record is from Ensembl.
AUGGGAUGGCUUCAUACAGCAGGCCUGAAUGGCGUCGUUCUCCAGCGGCUGCCCACUGUGGAAACAGCCGAUUAUGGUAUUGGGGAAUUUCCUGUCAAAUCAUACCUGUGUCCUCAGGGGUGGGAUCCUCAGUCGGGGCCAGGGUUACCGCUUCUGUGCUUCCAUCCUCAGACUGGGCAGUGUCCAGAUCUGGAUCCUCCGUCUGAGGUACUUCAGCUCCUGUGUGAAGAGGAAAAUGACCUUUUUGAAUACCAAUGGCCACAUGACUGGACACGGCACUUAACCAAACUACAUUUAUGUACAUGCGUUAUUUUGGCAGCAACUGUUGAUAUAAACUCAACAGCUUUGAAUCGGAAUAUGUGGAAUAUCCGCUCCACUUCUUGAGAAACUACAGCUCUACAGUUUCUCGUUAGGCUGAAUGAGUAACCGACUCUAAAUGAAGGUAUUUGGCCAUAAAGGCAUCAAUAAUGGUGCAGUGCUGAGGAUCUCACAUGUAUAAGCCAUUUCUGUGUGUAUAUACUGUAUAUAUCUUAAUAAGUGGGCCGUGAUGAAGUGGCGCUAACAGCUCGUUCACUGCAGCUUGAAAAGAGUCCUACUGAAUACCUCAUCACCUUCAGUGCUUCCCCGAAUGAGAAGCGUCAUUACUGCAACACCACGUCAACGGUUAGAGCUAAAGCAACCCCACCGCUCUGCUGCACCACGCUUGUUCAGCCAGAGGGAAGAAACGCUGGGUGUGUUUAGGGCGUGGGUGUCUGUUAUAGCUGAGAGUGAAAAGAAGCAAACGUACCGUCGUCCUCUGACGCCGCCACUUUCCCUCCUGUCACACACAAAAAAACAAGUUGUAGAAACGUUUAAAGGGCCCAAGUGAAAAAGUUCAACAGAAAGAUAUCGUAAUUCGCGACGCACCGAAAUGAAAAUUCUUUACUGAGCCCAAACCCAAAACUCAGGAUACGCUCAUCUGAAACCCAAAGACCAAGAACAGAGGAAACGGCUCUUUUCUCGGGAUCGUUUUACCGAUUUGGUUCAGAGUAAAAAAUGACCUCAUACCUUAAUUAUGCUUCUUUUAUUAUAAUAAAUGACUGAAUAUUCCAUUUGGUCGCCAACAAAGCAAUCACUUUGUGUUUCGGUAGAGACAUGAAAACGUGUGACCUGUGAUAAAUCUAAACCUUUCAAUUAUACUGAAGGAGAAAUCAAAAAGACCGAAAAAAUGCAUCAUUUUC